UUUCCGUAGGUGAACCUGCGGAAGGAUCAUUAUUGUAUAACCGAGGUGCGAGGGCUGUCGCUGACCCGAAAGGUCGUGCACGCCCGAGUGCCCUCACACACAUCCAUCUCACCCCUAUGUGCACCACCGCGUGGGUCCCCCUUUGGCUUGUUCGGAGGGGGGCUUACGUUUUCACACAAACUUUGUAUGCAGUGUAGAAUGUAUUUUUUGUUUUUGCGAUCACGCAAUCAAUACAACUUUCAACAACGGAUCUCUUGGCUCUCGCAUCGAUUAAGAACGCAGC
This 283-nucleotide unclassified non-coding RNA is filed under the name plant metagenome. Its description in RNAcentral is "partial contains small subunit ribosomal RNA, internal transcribed spacer 1, and 5.8S ribosomal RNA". The stretch from base 235 to 283 matches the Rfam family "5.8S ribosomal RNA", at positions 1 to 49 of the family's 154-position model. The record is from RNAcentral.